This is a long non-coding RNA of Melospiza melodia melodia, 1603 nucleotides long. RefSeq lists it as uncharacterized. The record is from RefSeq and is a predicted model, not a curated record. NCBI's taxonomy places the organism in Eukaryota, Metazoa, Chordata, Aves, Passeriformes, Passerellidae. The transcript is spliced from 2 exons.
GGGAGCGCUCGGGACGGCGGCUGGGAAAGGUGUGUGUCUGCUCCUGCCUCUUCAUCCAGCACCUGUCUGAGCAGCCAUCCUAGACCCCGACAUGGAUACAGCCUUUGCAAAGCACCUGGAAGAGAGAGGAACAGAUAGGAGUCGUUAAGAUUGCACUGCUGUCCAAGGCCUGAGAGCAAGCAAGAUGAUCCACAGUGUAACCCAGUCCAGGUACUCUUGCCAAAGUCGUGGUCUGGCAGGCUGAGACAUUCAGGAGAAGCUGAUUGCUUCCUGAUACCUUAGUUAAUCCAUCUCUGCAUAUUAGUUUUACACUUCCUGCAGAACUGUUUGCAGGACACAUAAAACAACAAUAUUUUCCUGAAACUGACUGCUUUAUCUUUUCUCAGAAGACUAGGCUGUAUGAAGUCCUGCCCAAGCCACCGCUGAAAACAUUCCAUUUUACUCUUCUGAUUUCAACGAGUGUAACAGAGCAAUAGCCAAAGUGAUGGAUGUCGAUGCUACUGAACAUGCCACUCAGAGCUAAGGUAGGGAAAGAGCAGAUCACAGUUUCAGCACCACUCCUGUUGCCUCUCACAGUAAAUGACAUGCCAAAGUCAUUGUGACAAUCCCUAGAAGAAAUUAAUACUUUAACGCAUCUUUAAGUGCAGAUUAUAGAGUUUCUCUGCCUGCCAUACAGAAGGAAGAAAGAGCUUAAUCUGUGUAAGCUACUGUCUUAUUCAGAUGAGAGGUGCCAGGUAAAUGCAGGAUGGUUUCUGUUCCACCAGAAUUCCUCACCUCCUCCCACCACUAAAACCCAGCCACGGCCAUCUUCACUCCCCUACAGCCUCCAAACACACCACACACAGCCAAAAAGAGGGAAAGAAAGAGGGUAAAUAAACAAUUGUGGAACAUUUCAACAGUGCUUGAAAACUGUUCUUAUAGUUGUAUACUGUGAAAUUUGAAGCCUGAAACGAGAAAGCAGACAAUGUAAAAAGCAGUUAUUUUUAACCAUGCAGAAAUUCUUGCAUACAGUGAUACUGCCCCAUCUUAGGUGUGUCCUCACACUGAUCUUUGUAGGGGGUUACUGAUGCAGGAAGAGGUAGAGAGGAAUUUGUUUGUGAACAAUUUCAAGUACACCACUCAUCAAUCUUAUUUUUGCAACAGGCCUAACCUGAAAGCAUUCUUCCUUUCAUUCAAUGAAAGCAGAAAUCCAAACCACUGCUUCUGUGCCCUUUGAAUAACAAACCCCUCCAGUGGUGGACUGGGCAGAGGAAACUCACUCAGCAGAGCAUUUGUAACGUAAAUUACCUGGCAGAGAUUACAUUUUAGGCUCCAGUUCUGUAAACUCCUGCUGCCUGCCUGACGCUCCACUGAAGUUUGUAGCAUUCCAGUCCAUUUAGAGCAAACAAAGAUGAGAGCUCUAGUUCACAGCAUGUGAAAUUAAGUAUACAAUACAUUUCUUUACUGCAAGCAAUUAUGCUUGGUACUAGCUCAGAGAACCAUUCCAGGAAAAGACUUAUACUCUUCUUUACUGUCUCAGAUUGUAUAUACAAUAACUCCAUAGCUGCAUAACUUAUUUUAUAUGGAAUAUGUUUAUACAAAAUAAAAAGUGGUUUUCCUCUAA